Small nucleolar RNA from Sphaeramia orbicularis (orbiculate cardinalfish), 130 nucleotides. Ensembl annotates it as small nucleolar RNA ACA64. NCBI's taxonomy places the organism in Eukaryota, Metazoa, Chordata, Actinopteri, Kurtiformes, Apogonidae. The record is from Ensembl.
UCGGACUGAAAAUGGUCUCAGGUGUAAUAGUGGUCUGAGGUCAGAUACCUGAGCCUAAAGCAAUGAGGUACGUUAAGCUUAUCGCCUGCUCACCUGUUGGCAGGGUGAUAAAACCCAUGUGCCUACAUAA